GAUCCUGGCUCAGGACGAACGCUGGCGGCGUGCUUAACACAUGCAAGUCGAACGAGAAUCUACUGAAAGAGUUUUCGGACAAUGGAAGUAGAGGAAAGUGGCGGACGGGUGAGUAACGCGUGAGGAACCUGCCUUGAAGAGGGGGACAACAGUUGGAAACGACUGCUAAUACCGCAUGAUGCAUAAGGGUCGCAUGAUUCUUAUGCCAAAGAUUUAUCGCUUCAAGAUGGCCUCGCGU
Molecule: ribosomal RNA, 238 nt
Filed under: uncultured bacterium
Lineage: Bacteria
Description: partial 16S ribosomal RNA
Rfam family: Bacterial small subunit ribosomal RNA
Source: RNAcentral